Molecule: long non-coding RNA, 92 nt
Filed under: Capra hircus (goat)
Lineage: Eukaryota; Metazoa; Chordata; Mammalia; Artiodactyla; Bovidae
Description: lncRNA (ENSCHIG00010024524.1)
Source: RNAcentral
AAGCGCAGUAAGACAUAGAUUUGCACCGGAGGCUAAUGCCUCAACCGCCCUGAUUUUGAGCAUCUGAGAAGACAAGACUGAAACACUGUCUC